RNAcentral lists this unclassified non-coding RNA (329 nucleotides) under soil metagenome. RNAcentral describes it as "partial contains 5.8S ribosomal RNA, internal transcribed spacer 2, and large subunit ribosomal RNA". The stretch from base 1 to 120 matches the Rfam family "5.8S ribosomal RNA", at positions 35 to 154 of the family's 154-position model. The record is from RNAcentral.
GAUGAAGAACGUAGCGAAAUGCGAUAAGUAAUGUGAAUUGCAGAAUUUAGUGAAUCAUCGAAUCUUUGAACGCACAUUGCGCCCCUUGGUAUUCCGAGGGGCAUGCCUGUUCGAGCGUCAUUACAACCCUCAAGCUCAGCUUGGUAUUGGGGCCUGCCAGCCUGGCAGCCCUUAAAGUCAGUGGCGGUGCCAUCGGGCUCUCAGCGUAGUAAUUCUUCUCGCUCUGGAGGUCCGGUCGUGUGCUUGCCAGCAACCCCCAAUUUUUUUCAGGUUGACCUCGGAUCAGGUAGGGAUACCCGCUGAACUUAAGCAUAUCAAUAAGCGGAGGA